Molecule: ribosomal RNA, 327 nt
Filed under: uncultured eukaryote
Lineage: Eukaryota
Description: partial 18S ribosomal RNA
Rfam family: Eukaryotic small subunit ribosomal RNA
Source: RNAcentral
CCCUUAGAUGUUCUGGGCCGCACGCGCGCUACACUGACGAAUGCAACGAGCUUAUAACCUUGGCCGAAAGGUCUGGGUAAUCUCCAAAUUUCGUCGUGAUGGGGAUAGAUUAUUGCAAUUAUUAAUCUUCAACGAGGAAUGCCUAGUAAGCGCAAGUCAUCAGCUUGCGUUGAUUACGUCCCUGCCCUUUGUACACACCGCCCGUCGUUCCUACCGAUUGAAUGGUCCGGUGAAGCGUUCGGACCGUGGCCUUUGGACGGUUCGCCGUCUGUUGGCUGCGGGAAGUUCGUUAAACCUUAUCAUUUAGAGGAAGGAGAANUCGUAACA